This 329-nucleotide ribosomal RNA is filed under the name uncultured soil bacterium. Its description in RNAcentral is "bacterial SSU rRNA". It matches the Rfam family "Bacterial small subunit ribosomal RNA", at positions 26 to 355 of the family's 1533-position model. The record is from RNAcentral.
AGAUUGAACGCUGGCGGCAGGCCUAACACAUGCAAGUCGAGCGGUAGAGAGGUGCUUGCAUCUCUUGAGAGCGGCGGACGGGUGAGUAAUGCCUAGGAAUCUGCCUAGUGGUGGGGGAUAACGUUCGGAAACGGACGCUAAUACCGCAUACGUCCUACGGGAGAAAGCGGGGGACCUUCGGGCCUCGCGCCAUUAGAUGAGCCUAGGUCGGAUUAGCUAGUUGGUGAGGUAAUGGCUCACCAAGGCGACGAUCCGUAACUGGUCUGAGAGGAUGAUCAGUCACACUGGAACUGAGACACGGUCCAGACCUCCGUACGGGAGGCAGCAGG